Molecule: transfer RNA, 17 nt
Filed under: Mus musculus musculus (eastern European house mouse)
Lineage: Eukaryota; Metazoa; Chordata; Mammalia; Rodentia; Muridae
Description: partial tRNA-Phe
Source: RNAcentral
AUUCUCUUCUCAAGACA